GGCUCUUUGAAAUAAAUACAUAAAGAGUCGAACCUGCCCAGUGAUUUAUUUAAACGGCCGCGGUACUCUGACCGUGCAAAGGUAGCAUAAUCAUUUGCCCUAUAAUUGAGGGCUUGUAUGAACGGUUUGACAAGAGCAUAACUGUCUCUUAAAAAUUUUAUAGAAUUUGGUUUUUAGGUGAAGAAACCUAAAUAUAAUUGAAAGACAAGAAGACCCUAUCGAGCUUUAGAGUAGUUAAUUAAAAAGUAUGAUUAAAAUAAUUAAUUUUAGUUAAAAACUUUGGUUGGGGCGACUGAGGAACAUAUAAAGCUUCUUUUAUUAAAAUAUGCCUAUAAGCUAUGAUCCAAAAAAUUUGAUUAAAAAAAUUAGUUACCGUAGGGAUAACAGCAUAAUCUUUUUCAAGAGUUCUUAUCGAAAAAAAGGUUUGUGACCUCGAUGUUGGACUAGGAUAUCUUAAAGAUGCAGAAGUCUUUAAAAGUUGGUCUGUUCGACCAUUAAAAUCCU
This 504-nucleotide ribosomal RNA is filed under the name Neotricula aperta. RNAcentral's name for it is "partial 16S large subunit ribosomal RNA". It matches the Rfam family "Bacterial large subunit ribosomal RNA", at positions 1816 to 2597 of the family's 2925-position model. Lineage: Eukaryota; Metazoa; Mollusca; Gastropoda; Littorinimorpha; Pomatiopsidae. The record is from RNAcentral.